UAGAACAUUAAGAUCAGAUUUCUUGAUCCACAUUUGGACCACUUUAGAACUCUUCUUCCAUGUUCUGCUGGUCUUAUCAGCAUUCUGUCCUGGAGCUGUCUUCUGUCUGUUUCUGUUGUUAGCAUACUGCCAGUGAGCUGACUUCCUUCCCCAGCUUGCUGAUUGAGAAUUCUUCAUUGGACAAUUAUUAGCAAGAUGGCCCUUCUUUCCACACUUGUGACAAGUCACCCAAGGCAUGGCAUAAUUGUAUGGAAU
RNAcentral lists this long non-coding RNA (255 nucleotides) under Daucus carota (carrot). RNAcentral describes it as "long non-coding RNA (DCAR_LNC000186)". Lineage: Eukaryota; Viridiplantae; Streptophyta; Magnoliopsida; Apiales; Apiaceae. The record is from RNAcentral.